AACGCUGAGGUGUGAUGACGAGGCACUACGGUGCUGAAGUAACAAAUGCCCUGCUUCCAGGAAAAGCCUCUAAGCAUCAGGUAACACGAAAUCGUACCCCAAACCGACACAGGUGGUCAGGUAGAGAAUACCAAGGCGCUUGAGAGAACUCGGGUGAAGGAACUAGGCAAAAUGGUGCCGUAACUUCGGGAGAAGGCACGCUGAUAUGUAGGUGAAGCGGUUUACCCGUGGAGCUGAAAUCAGUCGAAGAUACCAGCUGGCUGCAACUGUUUAUUAAAAACACAGCACUGUGCAAACACGAAAGUGGACGUAUACGGUGUGACGCCUGCCCGGUGCCGGAAGGUUAAUUGAUGGGGUUAUCCGUAAGGAGAAGCUCUUGAUCGAAGCCCCGGUAAACGGCGGCCGUAACUAUAACGGUCCUAAGGUAGCGAAAUUCCUUGUCGGGUAAGUUCCGACCUGCACGAAUGGCGUAAUGAUGGCCAGGCUGUCUCCACCCGAGACUCAGUGAAAUUGAACUCGCUGUGAAGAUGCAGUGUACCCGCGGCAAGACGGAAAGACCCCGUGAACCUUUACUAUAGCUUGACACUGAACACUGGUCCUUGAUGUGUAGGAUAGGUGGGAGGCUUUGAAGUGUGGACGCCAGUCUGCAUGGAGCCAUCCUUGAAAUACCACCCUUUAAUGGCUGGUGUUCUAACGUGGACCCGUUACCCGGGUUGCGGACAGUGUCUGGUGGGUAGUUUGACUGGGGCGGUCUCCUCCUAAAGAGUAACGGAGGAGCACGAAGGUUAGCUAAUCCUGGUCGGACAUCAGGAGGUUAGUGCAAAGGCAUAAGCUAGCUUGACUGCGAGAGUGACGGCUCGAGCAGGUGCGAAAGCAGGUCUUAGUGAUCCGGUGGUUCUGAAUGGAAGGGCCAUCGCUCAACGGAUAAAAGGUACUCCGGGGAUAACAGGCUGAUACCGCCCAAGAGUUCAUAUCGACGGCGGUGUUUGGCACCUCGAUGUCGGCUCAUCACAUCCUGGGGCUGAAGUAGGUCCCAAGGGUAUGGCUGUUCGCCAUUUAAAGUGGUACGCGAGCUGGGUUUAGAACGUCGUGAGACAGUUCGGUCCCUAUCUGCCGUGGGCGCUGGAGAAUUGAGGGGGGCUGCUCCUAGUACGAGAGGACCGGAGUGGACGCAUCACUGGUGUUCGGGUUGUCAUGCCAAUGGCAUUGCCCGGUAGCUAAAUGCGGAAGAGAUAAGUGCUGAAAGCAUCUAAGCACGAAACUUGCCCCG
Molecule: ribosomal RNA, 1270 nt
Filed under: Citrobacter freundii
Lineage: Bacteria; Pseudomonadati; Pseudomonadota; Gammaproteobacteria; Enterobacterales; Enterobacteriaceae
Description: partial 23S ribosomal RNA
Rfam family: Bacterial large subunit ribosomal RNA
Source: RNAcentral